GGAAUCCCGUCCGGGUAGUCGUGAGCCGCGAGCCCGGUAUCGAGCCUUUCCGUGAGGCUUGCAACAGCCCUACGGAUGCGUAGGCACGAAAGCAGGCGAGGUGCAAGGCAGCGGGUGAAGCCGCCCUUGAAGGUGUGGAGUCCCGAAAAUUUUGGUGGGAGAGUGCCGACGGCUUUGGCCCUCCGGCAGGCCACGAUCUGCAUCACGCGUCACGGCCAGUGGUGCGGAUACUCACCGGGGUCCGAGGCCG
This is a non-coding RNA of Thiocapsa sp. KS1, 250 nucleotides long. NCBI's taxonomy places the organism in Bacteria, Pseudomonadati, Pseudomonadota, Gammaproteobacteria, Chromatiales, Chromatiaceae. The record is from Rfam.